Cygnus atratus (black swan) is the source of this 973-nucleotide long non-coding RNA. RefSeq lists it as uncharacterized. The record is from RefSeq and is a predicted model, not a curated record. The transcript is spliced from 3 exons. NCBI's taxonomy places the organism in Eukaryota, Metazoa, Chordata, Aves, Anseriformes, Anatidae.
AAGGUGAUCUGAUGGAGAAUAAUGGCUAGGUAACUCAGUGAUUACCUUCGUUAUACAUAUAUCUUUCCAUUAAUUCAUUUCUGGAAAUCCAUGGUAUGGACAUAUCCAUCAGUUCUCCUGGAAAAUGUUGUGACAUGGUGUCCUAACCUGGCACUUCUCAGUGUGACAGUUUGUCUAGCUUUUGAGGGUAUAUUCAUGUUCCCAAAUUCACAGACACAGACCUGUCACUGGAGAUGGGCACUGUAAAAUAGCAGCAAGCAAGACAAAGAGGUGUGUUCUGUUUUAAUCAUUGCACAGAAUCCAUUCUAAACCCACUGAGAUGACUGGUCACCAUUCAUUUUCUGCUUGUGUCACGGACAUCAAGCAAUAAAAAGAGGUGGGCAGCAGAAUAGAACAGAAUGCAAUGCAAUACUAUGAAAUAUCUCAGUUGGAAGAAACAUUCAAAGAUCGUCUAAUCCAACUGCAAGGACAGGACUACAGUUGGUGUUCUACUACUACUGCUGCUGUUCUAUGACACUGAACAUGUUACUUUGCAUAUUCUGAGGCAGAGUGCAAGGUGACUCUGCUGAGGUUCCUCUGGAAGCUGCAGUUUCUUGUGGACUCUACACCCUCUCCAGACCUGCAGGCGGUGUUACCUCCUCCAUCUGCAGAACUGUUGCCUGUUCACCGACUGCACUAGUAUCUGAAGCACCAGGAUCUGCUACUUUGCAGAAAACCACCUUGUGGCCUGUAAGUCUGAGUAGCUUAGGUUAGGUGUCACUGCACAUCAAGAACAUGAAAGCUGAAAAAGCCCAACUUCAGUCUUUGCCUGGGGCCUCCAUGGGCCUUGUGCUUCCUCUCUCAGUUGUACUGUACAUUUACGUUGCUCUGAAGAGGGUAUGAAAUUAUCUGCUUCUGUUCACUGCAUUGUGAGAUCUAAAGUCUCUUUACUUGCAAGCUUUUCCAUUCUACACUGCUAUUCUAUGCUCGGCAA